This is an RNA transcript of Magnolia sinica, 1760 nucleotides long. It is a transcript of the gene named probable inactive shikimate kinase like 2, chloroplastic, with no coding region annotated. NCBI's taxonomy places the organism in Eukaryota, Viridiplantae, Streptophyta, Magnoliopsida, Magnoliales, Magnoliaceae. The transcript is spliced from 9 exons. The record is from RefSeq and is a predicted model, not a curated record.
CACGUGUACUUAACAAUGGAAGCGCUGCAUAGAACGUAUACAGCGCGAGCUGCAGAAUACCAUUCCAUCCUCCGUUUGUCACAUCUUAUCCUCUCUUUCUUUUCCCGCGAACGCAGAGAAAUGGCGAGUCUGUCUCUCAUCUCCUCUCCCUGCUUCCGUUCCCGAAAACCUAACAAAACCCUAGAAAUUCCGUUCCCAAAACCCCCUCUCUGCGGCUGCAAACCUCCAUAUCUCGCCUUCAAUGCCAAAUUCUCGUCUCCAAAAUCUCAUCUCCUCCCCAGCAAUAUCGUCUCUUUCGCGAUAAGAAGCAGUCUCUCAACGAUCUCCGUGGGUGCGAGAAAUUACGAGUUUUCCGAUGGUGAUGCAGAGGUAGAGCUGAGAAUUCAACUAGGGGGCAGAGAUAUUCCAAGUUCGAGAGAUGUUUUUGUUGAUGUCGAUGAGAGCUCCUUAACCAUCAGAGUUCGGUCCUCUGGAUCUCUUGUAACUCUAAUGGAAACUGACCGUAUGUAUGAGAAGAUAAAGCCAGCUGAAACUAUAUGGUACAUAGAUGAGGAUCAACUGGUUGUAAACCUGAAAAAGCUCAACAUGGACUUGAAAUGGCCUGAUAUCACAGAGACUUGGGAGUCACUUACCACAGGAGUCUUGCAACUUUUGAAAGGAACAUCAAUCUAUGUCAUUGGUGAUUCCACAGAAAUUAAUCAGAAAGUUGCUAAAGAACUUGCAGUUGGUCUUGGGUACACUCCACUUAAUACAAGUGAAUUGCUGGAAAUUUUUGCAAAACAAAGCAUUGAUUCUUGGGUGAUGGCAGAGGGGGAUGAUUCUGUAGCGGAAGCGGAAGUUGCUAUAUUCGAAAGUCUCAGCAGUCAUGUCCGUGCUGUUGUUGGGACAUUAGGAGGGCGACAUGGAGCUGCUGGAAGAGCUGGUAAGUGGCAGCAUCUUCAUGCGGGGUUCACUGUAUGGUUGUCUCAAUCUGAAGCCACUGAUGAAGCUUCUGCUAAGGAGGAGGUUCGAAGGAACAUACAAGAUGGGAGUCAGGCUUACUCGAAUGCUGAUGUGGUUGUCAAGCUUGGAGGCUGGGAUUCUGACCACAGCAAGACAGUUGCUCAGGCUGCUCUCAGCGCCCUUAAACAGCUAAUUCUAUCAGACAAGAAGCUUCCAGGGAGGAAGAAUCUUUACAUCAGGUUAGGAUGCCGUGGUGAUUGGCCGAACAUCAAACCUCCUGGUUGGGACCCAUCAAGUGGGAUGGAUGUAUCCACCGACACAUAGCAAAGGAAAUUCCUGUUCAUUUCAGUUUUAUGUUGGAAAUAAGAAGAUCAUGCAACACACAGUGGGCACAGGACUAUCAACCGCCAAAUGCUGGGAAGAUGGGGAGUUUGGGUUUCUUCAUAAAUGCCUAUGUUUGAAUUUACAAGGGUUUUUUUGGGGCCUCUUUAGGAGUUUGGAAAACAGAGCGAGAAACUGGCAUUUUCUUCCAAAGUUAAUUUCCAAGAAAGCAUUUGGAGGAGAAAUGUGGGGAAGGGCCGAGAAAAUUUCGUGGAGUAUUUUUCUAUGAAAACAUAUUCUUGGAAAAUGCUUUCCACCAAAACAUGAACUUCCAAUCGGGGGAAAAUGUCAUUUUCAUGGAAAGUAUUUUUCCACCCAUGCACACCACACAAAAUCAUUUCUCUGUAGCACCAGUUUCAAUUAAGGAAGUCAUACAAAUCUGUAAGCCUAAGGACAUGUUUGUUCCUGUGGAGGGUCGUUCCUGAUUUUAAUCUUUA